GAUGAUCCAAAAGUUUUCAAAGUCAGGUGGAGGCUGAAUGUCGAAUCGAGAUAGAGAUUGUUGGAGUUUAAUGCUUUAAAUUUGACUGAUAGAAGAAAAAUCCAGAUGCAGAGAAGCCCAGCACGCAGUGCAUGAUGCGAGGAGCUCAAAAAUAGGCUCAGAGAUGUAGUGCAUGAUGCAAGGAGCUCAGAAAUAGGCCCGUAGACACAGC
Molecule: long non-coding RNA, 211 nt
Filed under: Elaeis guineensis (African oil palm)
Lineage: Eukaryota; Viridiplantae; Streptophyta; Magnoliopsida; Arecales; Arecaceae
Description: long non-coding RNA (EGUI_LNC020181)
Source: RNAcentral